RNAcentral lists this small nucleolar RNA (126 nucleotides) under Hucho hucho (huchen). RNAcentral describes it as "Small nucleolar RNA SNORA71 (ENSHHUG00000020323.1)". Lineage: Eukaryota; Metazoa; Chordata; Actinopteri; Salmoniformes; Salmonidae. The record is from RNAcentral.
CCCAGUAUCGAAAGUGACUAUGGCAUGACUUGCCAUAGUCAUUGAUAGUACAGGAACAGUGACUUUGAAUUUUUUUCCUGUGUUUGUUGGAAUACCGGUUCCUGUCAAACACUGUACAGUUGAAGU